AUUUGAACGGCGAUGGGGCAACAGAAGCGUCGUUGUUGCUGGCGGCGGCUUUGUUUCCGGCGACGGCUCAUACCGAAGGAAUACUGAGCAAGGUAGAAGGUGGUUCAUGACCAUGAGAAGACUUUUGACCGACGCUCCACCUCACCCUUCACCCCGUAAUGGCACGGGCUAGUGAAUAGCGAUGUUUCAUUUAAGGGCAACUAUGUGCUUUCGUUUUUUCAGUUAAGGUCAAUUUCAGCAAACUAAGAAUAAAUUUGAACUUUUGAAGCACGUGGCGGAAAUCUUUGCGGAAUGAUGAUGGCUUAUCUACAAUGCGUGCGAGCACAGAUUAUUAUUGUAAUUAUCUGAAUAUGUUUAUUUUCUUGAAAAAUAUGUUUUCUUUAUGUAUAAUUACAGGACACCAGCAGCCACUUUGUAUCUA
Hevea brasiliensis (rubber tree) is the source of this 421-nucleotide long non-coding RNA. RefSeq lists it as uncharacterized. The transcript is spliced from 2 exons. NCBI's taxonomy places the organism in Eukaryota, Viridiplantae, Streptophyta, Magnoliopsida, Malpighiales, Euphorbiaceae. The record is from RefSeq and is a predicted model, not a curated record.